Molecule: non-coding RNA, 397 nt
Organism: Taeniopygia guttata (zebra finch)
Lineage: Eukaryota; Metazoa; Chordata; Aves; Passeriformes; Estrildidae
Source: RefSeq, a predicted model, not a curated record
UUGGGAUGCCGGCUCCAGGACAUUGUCAUACCUCCCACACUCUGUGACAGCGCCAUGGCAGCUGCAACUGCCAUCUCAUCAUCUCAGUCCCUCUGUCUGGGAGACUUCUCUUGCGAGUCUCUCCUCCCCCGCUGUUGGCAGCUUCUCCCACUGGGAUUUCAGUCCCUCCUUCCCAAGGUCAUGGGCUCCAGCAGCCUCAUUGUGAUCCUUCAGGAUGUGCCCAAACAGCCUGAAUUGCAGCCCUCCAUCAGAUACAAACCAAAAAGCACCAGAAUCAUCACCAGGCACCUGAUCUGGGGCCUUGUGACAGCGAGGUCCCCACAGCUUCCCCAGCACUUCCCACAUUGAUCUUGGUGGCUGAGUGGGCAGCUCAGGGAUCACAGGGAGCUGUUGGUGU